UGGGGAAUUUUGGACAAUGGGCGAAAGCCUGAUCCAGCAAUGCCGCGUGUGUGAAGAAGGCCUUCGGGUUGUAAAGCACUUUUGUCCGGAAAGAAAUCCUUGGCUCUAAUACAGUCGGGGGAUGACGGCACCGGAAGAAUAAGCACCGGCUAACUACGUGCCAGCAGCCGCGGUAAUACGUAGGGUGCAAGCGUUAAUCGGAAUUACUGGGCGUAAAGCGUGCGCAGGCGGUUUGCUAAGACCGAUGUGAAAUCCCCGGGCUCAACCUGGGAACUGCAUUGGUGACUGGCAGGCUAGAGUAUGGCAGAGGGGGGUAGAAUUCCACGUGUAGCAGUGAAAUGCGUAGAGAUGUGGAGGAAUACCGAUGGCGAAGGCAGCCCCCUGGGCCAAUACUGACGCUCAUGCACGAAAGCGUGGGGAGCAAACAGGAUUNGAUACCCUGGUAGUCCACGCCCUAAACGAUGUCAACUAGUUGUUGGGGAUUCAUUUCCUUAGUAACGUAGCUAACGCGUGAAGUUGACCGCCUGGGGAGUACGGUCGCAAGAUU
RNAcentral lists this ribosomal RNA (547 nucleotides) under uncultured bacterium. Its description in RNAcentral is "partial 16S ribosomal RNA". It matches the Rfam family "Bacterial small subunit ribosomal RNA", at positions 355 to 895 of the family's 1533-position model. The record is from RNAcentral.